UUGGAAGUAAGGAUCCUUUUCCCAAAUGAUCGACCACGAUUAUAAUCUGUGCAAAGUGAAAUCCUUAUUUUAGGAUUCAAAGCGUGGAAUUAUCCCUUUCAG
This is a small nucleolar RNA of Lolium rigidum, 102 nucleotides long. RefSeq annotates it as small nucleolar RNA Z103. The record is from RefSeq and is a predicted model, not a curated record. Lineage: Eukaryota; Viridiplantae; Streptophyta; Magnoliopsida; Poales; Poaceae. The transcript has a single exon.